Molecule: transfer RNA, 73 nt
Organism: Felis catus (domestic cat)
Lineage: Eukaryota; Metazoa; Chordata; Mammalia; Carnivora; Felidae
Rfam family: tRNA
About the family: Transfer RNA (tRNA) molecules are approximately 80 nucleotides in length. Their secondary structure includes four short double-helical elements and three loops (D, anti-codon, and T loops).
Source: Rfam
GCCUGGCUGGCUCAGUCAGUGGAGCAUGGGACUCUUGAUCUCAGGGUUUUGAGUUUGAGCCCCAAGUUGGGUG